GGAGUUUGGGCCGUGUCUCAGUCCCAAUGUGGCCGGUCGCCCUCUCAGGCCGGCUAUGGAUCGUCGGUUUGGUGGGCCGUUACCCCGCCAACUGCCUAAUCCAACGCGGAGCCAUCCCAUACCACCGGAGUUUUUCACACUGUACCAUGCGGUACUGUGCGCUUAUGCGGUAUUAGCAGUCAUUUCUGGAUGUUGUCCCCGUCUGAAGGGCAGGUUGCCUACGCGUUACUCACCCGUUCGCCACUAGGGUUCUACCGAAGCAAAACCCCCGUUCGACUUGCAUGUGUUAGGCACGCCGCCAGCGUC
RNAcentral lists this ribosomal RNA (306 nucleotides) under uncultured Ruminococcus sp. RNAcentral's name for it is "partial 16S ribosomal RNA". The record is from RNAcentral. Lineage: Bacteria; Bacillati; Bacillota; Clostridia; Eubacteriales; Oscillospiraceae.